CACCAUGCCCGGCCAUACCGCCCUGAAAGUGCCAGGUCUCAUCUGAUCUCGUAAGCUAAGCAGAGUUGGGCUCGGUUAGUACUUGGAUGGGAGCGCUAUGUUUUCAAGUAGGAAGACCACGUUAGGAGUGGAGA
Molecule: ribosomal RNA, 134 nt
Organism: Cebus imitator (Panamanian white-faced capuchin)
Lineage: Eukaryota; Metazoa; Chordata; Mammalia; Primates; Cebidae
Source: Ensembl